GCCCAUGUAGUUUAACUAAAAUAUUACACUGAAGAUGUAAAGAUGGACCCUGAUAAGUCUCGUGAGCAU
This 69-nucleotide transfer RNA is filed under the name Alepisaurus ferox (longnose lancetfish). Its description in RNAcentral is "tRNA-Phe". It matches the Rfam family "tRNA". From Rfam's summary of the family: Transfer RNA (tRNA) molecules are approximately 80 nucleotides in length. Their secondary structure includes four short double-helical elements and three loops (D, anti-codon, and T loops). Further hydrogen bonds mediate the characteristic L-shaped molecular structure. tRNAs have two regions of fundamental functional importance: the anti-codon, which is responsible for specific mRNA codon recognition, and the 3' end, to which the tRNAs corresponding amino acid is attached (by aminoacyl-tRNA synthetases). tRNAs cope with the degeneracy of the genetic code in two manners: having more than one tRNA (with a specific anti-codon) for a particular amino acid; and 'wobble' base-pairing, i.e. permitting non-standard base-pairing at the 3rd anti-codon position. Lineage: Eukaryota; Metazoa; Chordata; Actinopteri; Aulopiformes; Alepisauridae. The record is from RNAcentral.